UGGUUUUGUUAGUGACGGUGACCCGCCGGUACCUGUGGAUUACCCUCUCUGCAUCGGAAAUUGUUUCCUCGUCGCCUGCUCUGCUCCCACUGAGGCUUUCGUCCGCCGUUGCUUCAGUCGAGCUCUGCGGCGGGAAGCCUGCCUUCGCCGGCGAGGGAGGAGUGUCACUCGCACUCACUCACCCGCCACUCCUUCGGGGCUGCGUUGGCGGAAAAAUCUCUUGAUUGUGAAUGGCUUAGAAGUAAAGAAAGACGCAAAGAAGUGGUAAAGAGAUGUCAUCCAAGGACUGGAAUGGUGAUAUGAAGACGGUAAAUAGCUCCAUAAAGGAGAAUUUGUUGCAGAUCAAAGUAGCUUCCGCUCCUCUAACUGCCCAAUCAUCAAGAUCAAUCCUCUGUUCUGGGGAAGUAGCAAUUGGUCAUGUUGCUGCAUGUCGUCCUGAUGUAAUUGGAGGGGUCAUUCCAGUUGGAGGAGGAAGUGAAAGAGUACACAGUGACGAACCAAUUGCAGGGUUCAUUUUUAUGUGUAGUGGGAAGACAAAACCAGAGUGUUUUAUGUAUCGUGUUUUUGGACUACCAACGGGAAAACUGGAAGAUGUAAAGAAAAUACAGCCAAGCAUGAAGCUCUUCUUGUACGAUUUUGACUUGAAGCUUCUCUAUGGAGUUUAUGAGGCAACUUCAUAUGGACGGCUGAACUUGGAACCAUUGGCUUUCGCUCAGAGAUUUCCUUCCCAGGUAACAUUUAAAAUUUUCAAGGAUUGUUUACCAGUCCCUGAGUGUGUCUUCAGGCAUGCCAUCAAAGAAAAUUACAGUGGUUCUAAAUUUAAGCAAGAGCUUCAAAGUAAUCAGGUGAAUUCUCUCAUGGAACUGUUUCGACCUAUAGAUAUCAUGCCACCUGCUACCAAUACUCUCCAUCCAUUAACAAGGUUGCCUCCUGCAGAUAGCACAUAUGUAUCUGGGGCUCAUCAUACUGGUCCUCUGCAUAUGCCUAGGCAUUAUCAACCUUAACGUGCAAACAGUUGUUUGCCAUAUGAACAGUAUAUGCCUGAGUCCUGAGCUCUUGAGGUACAAUCUGUGGCAGAGCCUCAGUAUCACAUUCAGAAAGUUGCUUAUGUUCAUCCAAACCAAAAUCUUCAGGGGUCACACGACUCACACCCGCCAUACUUUCCUAAGGAGCCACGUUUAUCAAGAACUGAUACAUAUGGAAGGGUGGCAGUUGCAGCGGAGAUGGCUCCCAUCCAGCAGGCACUCGGAUAUGUUGACGCAUAUUAUAUAUCAGACCAGCCAAGAGUGAUGCAAACGGUCAGCUAUCAUAGUCAACAGGCUGCAACUGCUGCAGUUUCCUAUGCUUCCACGUCGUCAGCUACACUUUCGAAUGGUUCAGUUCCCUCAUACGUGCAGCCUCCUCCAUAUUAUGCACACUGGGACCCCCGUAUUCUAAUGACAUUACGUGGGCGUGCCGCGACCUCUGUAUUCCCUGGUAUCUUGUAAUGAGUAACGACCCCGUGAAUUCAACGAAAACCCGAUACAUGAUUGGCGGAAUACAUGUUAUAUUAAAUUUUUUUAGAUAUUUUGGGGCAAUAUCGAGUCAACGCUAGUAGCUGUCUAAAAGCAGAAAGGUCAACUUGAUGUGGACCAGGGGAGUGUUCAACAAGGCAUGUGGGUCGAUCGUGAUUUUCUCGUAGCUACUUGCAAGCAUGGGCAUAAUAUGAUUUUUUUUUCUGUCCA
Molecule: non-coding RNA, 1724 nt
Organism: Punica granatum (pomegranate)
Lineage: Eukaryota; Viridiplantae; Streptophyta; Magnoliopsida; Myrtales; Lythraceae
Source: RefSeq, a predicted model, not a curated record